Molecule: long non-coding RNA, 822 nt
Filed under: Cairina moschata (Muscovy duck)
Lineage: Eukaryota; Metazoa; Chordata; Aves; Anseriformes; Anatidae
Description: domestica (muscovy Duck (domestic type)) lncRNA (ENSCMMG00000008544.1)
Source: RNAcentral
CUCUGAUGGUGCAUGACAAUAACGUGUUGCAAAAGAAAGCUGAUUGGGUUCAAGUGAAAUCUAUCCCAAGGAAAGAAUCUUUGGAGCAGCUGGUUCCAUUUAUAUAUUUUAUUUCUGAAGCUCAUGAGCGUUCCAGUGAGAGAUGGUAAUGCAGGGCGAGGCUGGAGAGGCUGAAAGCUAUUCCUUCCUGGUGUGCAGGCCGUUGCUACACGUUCUUGCCUUGGAGCUGAAGCCAAAGUUGCUGUCUGUAACAGAAUUAUCGCAUCAUUAAGGAAUCAAGGGUCCAUUGCUUCAGAAAAGCCAUCAAAAUUGAAUUUCGGAGUGGUUUUAUGUAGAUGAAUUUAUUGUGAAUGAAUGCAACCAGCCUCCUUUUCUGCUGCCCUGGUGUGUUUGGAGCCUACCCGUCGGCAUUAACUGCGUAAUGUGGUCCCUAGGAGGGAAUGGCUGAAGUGAUAAUCGUGAUGCAGCAGGUGACCUUCACCUGAAGAAGCUCUCGGUUGCGGUUGGUGCCUCUCGAGCUCCUGUGGCACCCCGUGAGCAUGCGCGUUCUGUGACUGAAACUUGGAGAAAUAAAGGCUAUUCAUUACUGCAGUACCCUGUGAACAAUAGAGAUCACGAAAGGCCUUGCAGGGAACUCCUCUGUGUGUUGGCUCUUCAAGAAGCAGGAUGGGCCCUUGGAGGGAUUUCUCUCAGGCUUCAAGUAGCUGUUGUGUGCACGAUCUGCCUGGCUAAGCGCUUUGUGUCCGACCUGACGUAAGACCUAGAAGGGACAAGAGUUUCCCACUCCCUACCUUGCGAUUCAAAGUGCUCACUGAGUCUGUG